GUGGGGAAUAUUGGACAAUGGGGGGAACCCUGAUCCAGCCAUGCCGCGUGUGUGAAGAAGGCCUUUUGGUUGUAAAGCACUUUAAGCGAGGAGGAGGCUACCGAGAUUAAUACUCUUGGAUAGUGGACGUUACUCGCAGAAUAAGCACCGGCUAACUCUGUGCCAGCAGCCGCGGUAAUACAGAGGGUGCAAGCGUUAAUCGGAUUUACUGGGCGUAAAGCGCGCGUAAGUGGCCAAUUAAGUAAAAUGUGAAAUCCCCGAGCUUAACUUGGGAAUUGCAUUCGAUACUGGUUGGCUAGAGUAUGGGAGAGGAUGGUAGAAUUCCAGGUGUAGCGGUGAAAUGCGUAGAGAUCUGGAGGAAUACCGAUGGCGAAGGCAGCCAUCUGGCCUAAUACUGACACUGAGGUGCGAAAGCAUGGGGAGCAAACAGGAUUAGAUACCCGUGUAGUCC
RNAcentral lists this ribosomal RNA (451 nucleotides) under uncultured bacterium. RNAcentral describes it as "partial 16S ribosomal RNA". It matches the Rfam family "Bacterial small subunit ribosomal RNA", at positions 354 to 796 of the family's 1533-position model. The record is from RNAcentral.